AUUGAACGCUGGCGGCAGGCCUAACACAUGCAAGUCGAGCGGAUGAAGGGAGCUUGCUCCUGGAUUCAGCGGCGGACGGGUGAGUAAUGCCUAGGAAUCUGCCUGGUAGUGGGGGAUAACGUCCGGAAACGGGCGCUAAUACCGCAUACGUCCUGAGGGAGAAAGUGGGGGAUCUUCGGACCUCACGCUAUCAGAUGAGCCUAGGUCGGAUUAGCUAGUUGGUGGGGUAAAGGCCUACCAAGGCGACGAUCCGUAACUGGUCUGAGAGGAUGAUCAGUCACACUGGAACUGAGACACGGUCCAGACUCCGACGGGAGGCAGCAGUGGGGAAUAUUGGACGAUGGGCGAAAGCCUGAUCCAGCCAUGCCGCGUGUAUGAAGAAGGUCUUCGGAUUGUAAAGCACUUUAAGUUGGGGGGAAGGGCAGUAAGUUAAUACCUUGCUGUUUUGACGUUACCAACAGAAUAAGCACCGGCUAACUUCGUG
RNAcentral lists this ribosomal RNA (484 nucleotides) under uncultured bacterium. RNAcentral's name for it is "partial 16S ribosomal RNA". It matches the Rfam family "Bacterial small subunit ribosomal RNA", at positions 30 to 507 of the family's 1533-position model. The record is from RNAcentral.